AUUGCACUCCAGCCUGAGUGACAGAGCAAGACUCCAUCUCAAAAAAAAAAAGCACGGGGUGUUUUUGUUUAUAUUAGAGUUUGAAAUGGAAAGUAUUUCAUCUUUCUGUUUCCCUUCUCUGUGGCAGACUGAUUUCCGAUUCUACUGGAUGCAUUCAAAGUUACCAGAAGAAGAAGGACUGGGAGAGAAAACCAAGCUUAAUCCUUUUAAAUUUGUGGGGCUAAAGAACUUCCCUUGCACUCCCGAAAGCCUGUGUGAUGUGCUAACUAUGGAUUUCCCUUUUGAGGUAGAUGGACUUCUCUUCUACCACAAACAGACCCACUACAGCCCCGGAAGCACUCCCUUGGUGGGCUGGCUGCGCCCCUACAUGGUGUCAGAUGUCCUUGGUGUAGCUGUGCCGGCUGGCCCGCUGACCACCAAGCCAGACUAUGCUGGGCACCAGCUCCAGCAGAUUAUGGAG
This 460-nucleotide small RNA is filed under the name Pan troglodytes (chimpanzee). RNAcentral's name for it is "retained intron". The record is from RNAcentral. Lineage: Eukaryota; Metazoa; Chordata; Mammalia; Primates; Hominidae.